GCGGCUGCGUGUAAUCGGCGAGGCCGAGCGUCGAUAGAUCGGAGCCGUAGCCGGACUGCUUGGUCCCGCCGUGCGGCAUGUCGGCCGUGUAGGUGAAAUGCGCGUUCACCCACGUGACGCCCGCGUCGAUGCACGCGGCGAGCCGCAUGCCGCGCGCCGCGUCGCGGGUCCAUACCGACGAAGCCAAUCCGUAUUCCGAAUCGUUCGCCCACCUGAGCGCUUGUGAUUCGGUGUCGAACGGCGUGAGCGUGACGACCGGGCCGAACGCUUCGCGGCGCAUCGGCGCGUCGUCGUGGCGCACGCCGGCGAUCACGGUCGGCGCGUAGUAGCAGCCGGGGCCGGGCAGCGGCGCGCCGCCCGUGAGUACGCGCGCGUGCCGCAGCGCGGCCGCCUCGCGCACGAAGCGCUCGACGCGCGCGCGGUGCGCGGCGCUCACGAGCGGCCCCAUCUCGGCAUCCGCGCGAUCGGGCGGGCCGACGCGCAGCGUGCUCGCCGCAUCGGCGAGCCGCUGCGCGAGCGUGUCGUAGAUGCCGCGCUGCACGUAGAUGCGCGUCGCCGCCGUGCAGUCCUGCCCGGCGUUGUAGAAGCCCGCGUAGCGGAUGCCGGCGACGGCCGCGUCGAGAUCGGCGUCGUCGAACACGAGCACGGGAGCCUUGCCGCCGAGUUCGAGAUGCGUGCGCUUCAGAUUGCCGGCCGCCGCGGCGAGCACGGACUUGCCCGCUUCGACCGAGCCCGUCAGCGAGAUCAUCCGCACGCGCGGAUGCGUGGCGAGCGCGCGGCCGACGCUCGCGCCGUCGCCGAGCACGAUGUUGACGACACCCGUGGGAAAGAUGCGCGCGAGCGCGGCUUCGAGCGCGACGAUCGACAGCGGGGUCCAUUCCGACGGCUUGAACACGAUCGUGUUGCCGGCCGCGAGCGCCGGCGCGAGCUUCCACGCGGCCAUCAUCAGCGGGUAGUUCCACGGCGCGAUCUGUGCGACGACGCCGAUGGGAUCGCGCCGCACCAUGCUCGUGUGGCCCUCGACGUAUUCGCCGGCGGACGGCCCGCUCGCGGUGCGCGCCGCGCCCGCGUAGAAGCGAAAGCAAUCGGCGACGGCGAGCAGUUCGUCCUGCACGACGAGAUGCAACGGCUUGCCGGUGUUGCGGCUUUCGAUUCGCGCGAGCGCGCCCGCUUGCCGGUCGAUUUCGUCGGCGAGCGCGAGCAGCAGGCUCGCGCGCGUGGCCGGUGUCGUCGCGCGCCAUGCGGGGAACGCCGCUUCGGCGGCCGCGACCGCGCGCUCGAGGUCGGCCGCGCUCGCGGCGGCGGGCGCCGCGAGCGGCUCGCCCGUCGCCGGAUCGACGAUCGACAGCGGCUCGCCGCCCCCUUCGAUGCAAAGGCCGUUGAUCAGCAUGUUUCGUUUUCCUCGCGAACGGGGGCAUGUUGCGCGAGCUCGCGCUGCGUGCGCUCGAGCGCGGCCGCGAGAAUCGCGCAGAUUUCGUCGAUGUCGGCGCGCGUCACGGUGAGGGGCGGCGACAGGAUGCACAUGCUCUCGUAGGGCCGCACGAGCAGGCCCAUCUCUUCGCAGUGGCGAUCGACGCGCUGCGCGAUCGCGAUGUCCGCAGGCGUCGGCAACGCGCCCGUCGCGCCCGCGCCGCUCGUGCAUUCGAUGCACGCCAUCAGAUGAUCGCCGCGCACGUCGCCGACGAUCGGCAGGCGCCGCAGCGCAUCGAGCCGGCGAAUGAAGUACGGGCCGACGUCGCGCACGUGCUCGCAGAUCCGCUCGCGCUCCAUCAGCUCGAUGUUGGCGAGCGCGGCCGCGCAGGCGACCGGAUGGCCCGAGUAGGUGAAACCGUUCGUGAACACACCGUUGCCGUACGCGUGCUCGCCGGACACCGCAUCGACGAGCCGCUCCGAGAUCAGCACCGCGCCGAGCGGCUGGUAGCCGGAGGUGAGCCCCUUCGCGACGACGAUCAUGUCGGGCUCGAUGCCGAAGUGCGCGUGCGACGCGAAGAAGUGGCCGACGCGGCCGAAGCCCGUGACGACUUCGUCGCUGAUGUACAGGAUGUCGUGCCGGCGGCAGCGCUCGCGCAUCGCGGCGAGAUAGCCGGGCGGCGGCACGAUCACGCCGCCCGACGCGAGGAUCGGCUCGGCGAUGAAGCAUGCGAUCUGCUCCGCGCCGAGCUUCGCGAUCAGCGCGUCGAAUUCGUCGACGAGCGACGCGCAGAACGCGUCGACGCUCAUGCCGGCCGGCCGCCGGUACGGGUUCGGCGACGACAGGUGAUGGACGAUCGUGCUGUCGUAGUGAAAGCACGUGCGGUCCCACGCCUUGCCGGAUAUCGAUGCGGCGAGAUACGUGCUGCCGUGGUACGCGUCGCCGCGCGUGACGAUGUGGCGCUUGCGCGGGCGGCCCGUCGCGCCGAAGUAGUAGUGCGCGAAACGCAGCGCCGAUUCGACCGCUGUCGAGCCGCAGGUGGUCAGGUGCACGCGCUUCAGAUCGCCGGGCGCGAGCUCGGCGAGCCGCGCGCCGAGCGCGGCGGCGGGCUCGUUCGUCAUCGCGCCGAACGGCGUGUAGAACGGCAUGCGCAGCGCCUGAUCGCGGAUCGCGUCGGCGAUCUCGCGCCGGCCGUAGCCGAGCGUCACGCACCACAUGCCGCCGAUCGCGUCGAGAUAGGUACGGCCUUCGGCGUCGGUCACGCGCGUGCCCUGCGCUUCGACGAUGACGGUCGGCGUCUCGCGGCCGAGCGCGGACAGAUCGGCCCACGGGUGCAGCAGAUGCCGCGUGUCCUGCUGCGCGCUCGUGAGAAGGGAAUCGUUUCGGUAUGCCAUAUGUUGCCUCAGUCGGUCAGGCUGACGAGAUGCAGGCGCGGCCCGGAGAACGCGAAGCGGCCGUGCUGCACGUAGACGUUGUCGAGCACGAGCACGUCGCCCGGGCGCAUCGCGACCGCGCGCGACGUGCGCCACAGCGCCGCGCGCAGCUUCGUGACGAGCUCGGGGUCGAUCGGCUCGCCGUCGCCGUAUGUCGUGGUCGCCGGAUAGCGCGCGUCGUCCCAGUCGGACGGGAAGAGCGGGUGGCUGCGCCAGUACGACGCGUGCAGCUCCGUCACCUGGUUGAACCACAGCGGCGCGCCGCCCGCGG
RNAcentral lists this ribosomal RNA (3115 nucleotides) under Burkholderia mallei 2002721280. RNAcentral's name for it is "23S ribosomal RNA". The record is from RNAcentral. Lineage: Bacteria; Pseudomonadati; Pseudomonadota; Betaproteobacteria; Burkholderiales; Burkholderiaceae.